GAGAGUCUGGAGCAGAGACAAUUUUAACUUAGCCAUUCCUAAUUUAUCUCAAGCAUAUUCAAUUCAUCUUUACUGCUCUAUGCACACAGGAACACCAGAUUGCCAUCCCUGGGGAACAGAAUGCAACCGGGGAUCUAGAGAGCUGUCACAUUCCAAGAAAUAUUUAAAUUGUGCUGAUUUUCUUCUGGAGAACUGAGCCCAGGGAAUGAAACUCUCCAUCAAGUCAUAGCUUUGCGGGCAAUAGAUCAGAGGAUAUUGCCAGUUUUCUAAUGGAUUAUUGUUAUCGGGCAGGUUUUCUCUGAAGGAGUCACGGAGAAGGAGAUAUCUAAAGUGAUAUUUGUUGGCCGCCCCGUAACUGGACCGAUGGCGAUAUUAGACAGUUCCAGAAGAGUAAGGAGCAUGUAAACGUACCUGAGGGACUGGAGAUCAGCCAGAUCAGUCGUAUGCACAAAGCCACUUUGGGUCUGUCUUUUCAAACAAGAGCUGCAGAAAACGUUAUAGCAAGGUCGAAGCUUUAUUCCACUCUGACUCACCCAGAAAGCACAACCCUGAUUUUGCAUAAGAACAGCUAUCAACAGACCCUAAAACGUGAGUCCUAUUGGUUUGUGCUAUUGAAUUCUACUUUGCUAUAUAAAUGAUCUUGUGAUAAGAUAUGGCUUUUAUUUCAUAAUUAAAAUCUUGACCAAGUAUAAAUGUAGACUGUAAGAAGUGCAGAAAGGAAGAAUUGAUAUGUUUGUUACAUUCUUUAGUUUAAAAGAUUCUAGUAGUUAGUAGCUACUUAACUCUGAAGCAGAUAUUGUGCUAUUCAUUGAUAGUUGUUUUAAAGCAGAUAGCUUUACAGAGUUUUGAUGUUCCAAUUUCUUUAUGGUUGAUAAAAAUAUAUAAAUAUAAUAUUCCUUACAACUAAGCAUUUCCAUGCUAUUUUGUACAUGAUUUACUUUUCUAUGAUCAAUAUCCCUAAGUAUUUAGAGCAUGUAUUUAGCAUCUCAGUUUUUCUCGGAGAUUUUACAAAUGGAAUAAGUGCUGGGUCAAAGACAAAAGGCUUGGUGCACUUUUCUUCUCAGUUCUAUCACAGAUCUGACUUUUAGCUACUUAAUAAUUUUUGGUAUCUCUUCUCUCUGGCCUCUGAUAAGUUGUCUUUGAUAACCUGCUGUUUUGUUCUUGAGCUUUGCCAUGGCUACAACUCUGGGGUAUCAGAACUGUCAAAAAUAAAAGUAAAAGAGCAAGAAUCGUGGAGCUUAUGAAAGUUAGAGAAGACAUAAGGCCUGGUAUCGACAGAUGAAUUUUCCACUGGCAGGUAGUUUUCACUUUAUCCCAUUUGCUGUCACAGUACACAGUACCUGAAAUAAUAAGGGGAUUUUUUUUUCCCGAAUAAUGGACGAUAGGGGCUGUUUGCUUUGUGAGAAUCUGCCAAGGCAGCAUGCCAUGUGGCUUUAUCUUUGAAAGUGAGGGUAAAACAAGCUUGCUGAGCUGCAGAUAAGGGACUUAGAAGGAAUUCUAUUCAGAUGUACCUGUCACUAAUUUAUCUGGAGGUUUUGUGAUUCAUACAUACUGCUCUAUGUGCGAUGAGGCAUUAAAUUGGUUUCCUCUGGGAGCAGGUCACAUUCAGGGGUCCUCAGACCUACGCUUGUGGUAUGGUGCAUGCCUGAUUCAUAUAGCCUAUUGCUACUCAAUUUUUAUCUAUUAGAGAGCUGGUAAGUUGAACAUAUGUUAGAUGAUCUCUUGGAACAUUUCAACAGCAAAGGGAGAUUGACAGAAACUUAACUAUCUAUUAAUAUGCACAUGUUUCUAACAAAAAUUAAUCAAACUUUCUGAUGUUAGUACAUUUAUUAUGAUAAUUAAGUAGUUAUACAUAUGUUUCCCAAUAACGGCCUAGCUCUUUAUGAAUGCAUUUCCAUAGCUCCUUUAUUUAUUGGAACAAAGGGAUAUGUACUUAAGUGCAUUAUUUUAUCCUGGAAAAAAAAAUGCAGAGCUGAUUUGAAACAGGUUUCACGAAAGGAAAAAUUUCAGAAAACAUAUAGAGUUUUCCCAUUUACAUUAUAGUUUUCUACUGUGGCAAUUCUGCUUCAUUACUCAAUAUAUUUUGAAAAAAAUGUCAUACCUUAGAAAAUGAAAUAGAUACUGGUUCAAAUUUGAAAGGAAUAUAAAUGGAAGAGAUGCUUAUUUAUUGUUAACAUUGUGCUGAGAGGUUUUUACACUGACCUCUUUUUUUUUUGGAUGUGAGAUAUUUUAGCAAAUGCAAAAAAAAAAAAAAAA
This 2256-nucleotide long non-coding RNA is filed under the name Sus scrofa (pig). Its description in RNAcentral is "lncRNA (ENSSSCG00035026766.1)". The record is from RNAcentral. Lineage: Eukaryota; Metazoa; Chordata; Mammalia; Artiodactyla; Suidae.